This 253-nucleotide ribosomal RNA is filed under the name uncultured bacterium. Its description in RNAcentral is "partial 16S ribosomal RNA". It matches the Rfam family "Bacterial small subunit ribosomal RNA", at positions 524 to 776 of the family's 1533-position model. The record is from RNAcentral.
UACGUAGGGCGCAAGCGUUGUCCGGAAUUAUUGGGCGUAAAGAGCUCGUAGGCGGUUUGUCGCGUCUGCUGUGAAAACUCGGGGCUUAACCCCGGGCCUGCAGUGGGUACGGGCAGACUAGAGUGCGGUAGGGGAGACUGGAAUUCCUGGUGUAGCGGUGAAAUGCGCAGAUAUCAGGAGGAACACCGGUGGCGAAGGCGGGUCUCUGGGCCGAUACUGACGCUGAGGAGCGAAAGCGUGGGGAGCGAACAGG